UGGCGGACGGGUGAGUAACGCGUGGGUAACCUGCCUCAUACAGGGGGAUAACAGUUAGAAAUGACUGCUAAUACCGCAUAAGACCACAGCACCGCAUGGUGCAGGGGUAAAAACUCCGGUGGUAUGAGAUGGACCCGCGUCUGAUUAGGUAGUUGGUGGGGUAACGGCCUACCAAGCCGACGAUCAGUAGCCGACCUGAGAGGGUGACCGGCCACAUUGGGACUGAGACACGGCCCAG
This 238-nucleotide ribosomal RNA is filed under the name uncultured bacterium. Its description in RNAcentral is "partial 16S ribosomal RNA". It matches the Rfam family "Bacterial small subunit ribosomal RNA", at positions 96 to 334 of the family's 1533-position model. The record is from RNAcentral.